GUGCUCGCUUCGGCAGCACAUAUACUAAAAUUGGAACGAUACAGAGAAGAUUAGCAUGGCCCCUGCGAAUAACACUUGGGAAGACUUUAUGCAAUCAACAAGUUUUU
Molecule: small nuclear RNA, 107 nt
Filed under: Spermophilus dauricus (Daurian ground squirrel)
Lineage: Eukaryota; Metazoa; Chordata; Mammalia; Rodentia; Sciuridae
Source: RNAcentral